This 680-nucleotide ribosomal RNA is filed under the name uncultured bacterium. Its description in RNAcentral is "bacterial SSU rRNA". It matches the Rfam family "Bacterial small subunit ribosomal RNA", at positions 8 to 672 of the family's 1533-position model. The record is from RNAcentral.
AGAGUUUGAUCCUGGCUCAGGAUGAACGCUGGCGGCAUGCCUAAUACAUGCAAGUCGAACGAGAGGAAGGAAAGCUUGCUUUUCUGAAUCUAGUGGCGAACGGGUGAGUAACACGUAGGUAACCUGCCCAUGUGCCCGGGAUAACUUCUGGAAACGGAUGCUAAAACCGGAUAGGUAGCAGACAAGCAUUUGACUGCUAUUAAAGUGGCUAAGGCCAUGAACAUGGAUGGACCUGCGGUGCAUUAGCUAGUUGGUGAGGUAACGGCCCACCAAGGCGACGAUGCAUAGCCGGCCUGAGAGGGCGGACGGCCACAUUGGGACUGAGACACGGCCCAAACUCCUACGGGAGGCAGCAGUAGGGAAUUUUCGUCAAUGGGGGGAACCCUGAACGAGCAAUGCCGCGUGAGUGAGGAAGGUCUUCGGAUCGUAAAGCUCUGUUGUAAGAGAAAAACGACAUUCAUAGGGAAUGAUGAGUGAGUGAUGGUAUCUUACCAGAAAGUCACGGCUAACUACGUGCCAGCAGCCGCGGUAAUACGUAGGUGGCGAGCGUUAUCCGGAAUGAUUGGGCGUAAAGGGUGCGUAGGUGGCAGAACAAGUCUGGAGUAAAAGGUAUGGGCUCAACCCGUACUGGCUCUGGAAACUGUUCAGCUAGAGAACAGAAGAGGACGGCGGAACUCCAU